Pelobates cultripes (western spadefoot toad) is the source of this 1137-nucleotide non-coding RNA. NCBI's taxonomy places the organism in Eukaryota, Metazoa, Chordata, Amphibia, Anura, Pelobatidae. The record is from the annotation of a GenBank genome assembly.
CUUGCAUUCUAGGAGGCCAUUGAAAGCAUAUGAAAUAGUUAACUUUCCUUGUUCAUAUGUAUUUUAUGCUAAGAUAAGGUUUAUAAUCAUUAGUGCUGACUGUAAGGAUAUGAAAUGGUUAACUUUAUAUGCUUUAAAAUAAUGUUUGAAAUAAUUAUGCUGACUUUGGCAGAUGUAUUUUGUACCAAGGUCUUUCGUCUACAGGAUGUAUGACCUUGCUCGACCUCAGGAUGUUACUGUGCCAUCUUUAUUCAAAUGCUCAUUUUUUUAAUGUCAGACAAGUAUGUACUACUAACUUUAAGGAAGUGAUAAAUCUCGCUGCUUGCGUGACAAACUGUGUAUAAAUGCUAGCCCUGAAAAUAUACUCAUUGAGAACUUGUUAAGCACUCUUUCGUGUCUGUGUUUUAAUUUGCUAACAAGAACUCCCAUCAAUUGAUGUGGUGACCGGAGAAUCGAGAAUCGAGGGGAGUUGAGUCCAGAACAGCUUUUAUCCUUUCAGCUUGGUGUCAUGAAGUGGGAUGACAGCAAAACCAUUGGGUAAGUAGCCUUUUUGUGUCUUAUUGAUGCUAAUUGUCUAUGACCCCCUUUGGUUCAGUAAGUCUGUAUCCAGUAGAAAGGAAAGGUGUAAGGACUUUAGUUAUAUUGAGACUGUAAAUAGGUCUCCGGUUUAUUAGACAUUUGGUCUAAAUAUAUAUAGGGGUUCUUGGUAACCCAGGUUAGUAUCUAAGAUAGAUACAGGUUUUUGAGACCAUAAGAGGUCUCCGGUUUAUUAUAGGGUUUUGGUAACCCAGGUUAGUAUCUAAGAUAGAUACAGGGUAUCUCAGGUAGAUACAGGUUUUGAGACCAUAAGAGGUCUCCGGUUUAUUAAGACUAUAGGUGUUCUGAGGAGCACGGUUUAUAGAUCUAUAAGUAUACCCCCAAACUUCUAUUUCUCCUGGUCACCUUUGUUUGUCUUAAGUGUUCUUUGUGGGUGAUUGUCUGUCUGUAUUGGGGACACACUUUGGUAAGUUAGUAGUGGGUCUGCCCUGAGUCAGCAGUAUGGGAAAUGUAAGUUCAGGUCCUGAGUGACCAAUAUAUAUAUAUAUAUAUAUACAUACUGUAUAUUAAAAAAGAACUGAUUCGCAGGUUGUACCUGAU